GACGAACGCUGGCGGCGUGCUUAACACAUGCAAGUCGAACGGAAAGGCGCUGCUCUUGUUGGUUGCUCGAGAGGCGAGGGGGUGAGUAACACGUGAGGAACCUGCCCUUGACUUUCUGAUAACAUCACGGAACUCGGGCGCAUAUAGUAUAGGAUCUCCUGAUUCAUUUGGUUGAUUGGAAAGGGUCGGCGGUUGGGUCUGGACUCGCGGGUUAUCAGCCUGUUUGUGGGGUUGUUGCGUACGCAGGCUUCGACGGGUAGCCGGCCUAAGAGGGUGACCGGCAACAUUGGGACUGAGAUACGGGGCAGCAGCCUAGGGGAGGGAGCAGUGGGGAAUAUUGCAAAACGGGGGGAAGGCUGAUGCAACAAAGCCGCGCGCGGGAUGAAGGCCUUUGGGUUGUAAACCGCUUUCGCCUGUGACGAAGGGUGAGUGACGGUAAUGGGUAAAGAAGCACCGGCUAACUACGUG
Molecule: ribosomal RNA, 468 nt
Filed under: uncultured bacterium
Lineage: Bacteria
Description: partial 16S ribosomal RNA
Rfam family: Bacterial small subunit ribosomal RNA
Source: RNAcentral